Molecule: long non-coding RNA, 1404 nt
Filed under: Gossypium barbadense (sea-island cotton)
Lineage: Eukaryota; Viridiplantae; Streptophyta; Magnoliopsida; Malvales; Malvaceae
Description: long non-coding RNA (GBAR_LNC020080)
Source: RNAcentral
CCAUCUUUCAUCCUUUCCAAACUCCAUGUUUUUCUUUAAUUUUGUUUUACCCUCCUUGUUUAGUUCCUUUGCAUUGAUACUCUAUUUUCUUUCCUUUUCGUGUUCGAUAAAUUUGCUUGGAACUGUAGUUCUUGAUCUGUUGACUGUAAUUUGUGGUGGGUAAGUUUUCUUUUCGUUCGUUCUUAUAAGGAUAUGGUUUGCUAAUAUUUCUAGACGAUGGGGUUAUGAAGUUGUGUUUUGGGGUUUGUAAUAAUUUUGGUACAUUUUUAGAGGGAAAUCAAGGGACGACCAGUGCUCCUCCAACGAUUUAUGUGUUUAUGGUGGUUGUUCGUUGACAGUAAGUGUACGUAUGCGUUCUUCAGAAUUGAGAGGCUAAGUUCGCGGUCAAUUCUUGUUUGAAUUUGUAAAUCAAUUACCGAAUUAAUCGUUGGAAUACUGUUUUUAGGUACUGGGAAUCAUGUGGUUGCAUUCAGAUCAAAAUCGAGCAAGGUGUGUAACAAGAAACCCAAAAAAUAGUGAACGGUGAAAGCCAAAAUAGGGCACUGUCGAUGCCACAUGGCUGUGUGUGACACACAGCCUAGGUUAUUUUGGGCUAUGUGGGCCACACGGGCGUGUGUGGGUUGUGUGCCAAGCCAUGUGCGCUACACGAGUUGGGCUAUCUAGGUGUGCGGGCCCAAAAUUUAAAAUUUUUCCCUAGGGCCAUACACGUCAUCCUGAUCGACUGUGGGCCUUCUUUGAGGUCAAUAUGUGAUUAUAUAUGUGACAAAACAUUGUAUUCGGUUAUCUGUUAGUACAAAUGCUGAAAUUUGCAAGUGUGUCUAAGCUGUCAUAUGAUAGUUUAAAUCGAGAGUAAUGUUAAAUACAUGGUUUGUGACUGAAAUGUUAUGCAUGAUUUCUGUUCUAUUUAUAUCUGAUUAUGGAGUGGGACAUAUAUUAUGUAGAGGAAGUAUUCUGUGAGAGGCAAUAUCUCGCCCAUUAUUCUGGUAGCACUGCUGUGAAUAUUCUGAAAAGUGUCAUAUUGACACUAAGUGGUGUGUAGGGCUGGAUAGGUCUUUAAGACGCUACAUGGUGUGUAGGGAUGGUCGGAGAUGGUGUGUAGCGAAUAGGGGUAGGAUUGUAAAUUUGCAUAUGAUUCUCAUUCUGUAUGAGUUAUACAUCGGUAUCUGCUCCGCUAUGUAGUAAAUCUAGAAAUAAAUCUGUAAUUCUAUUUUCUUUUAAGUUACACACUGAGUUAUGAAAACUCACUUUCUGUUUGUUUGUUACGUUCAUGUAACCUUUAGACUUAGGCAGGUCAGUGCGACGGGAGCUCGGUUACAUCCACAUUUCCGUAAACUUAGUUUAUUUUAAACUUGACUUAUUUAAAAUUCCAGUUUGAGAGUUUUGUAAAUUUUGGUUUCUCUGGAC